Non-coding RNA from Nicotiana attenuata, 73 nucleotides. The record is from Rfam. Lineage: Eukaryota; Viridiplantae; Streptophyta; Magnoliopsida; Solanales; Solanaceae.
CAUUUAGCUCAGUUGGUUAGAGCGUCGUGCUAAUAACGCGAAGGUCGCAGGUUUCGAGACAGAACCUGCAUUG